RNAcentral lists this long non-coding RNA (883 nucleotides) under Homo sapiens (human). RNAcentral describes it as "non-protein coding lnc-LGALS9B-2:2". The record is from RNAcentral. Lineage: Eukaryota; Metazoa; Chordata; Mammalia; Primates; Hominidae.
GUUUGAGACCAGCUUGGGCAAUGGAGUGAGACCCCCAUUCUGAAAAAAAAAAAUCAAAAAAUUUAACAGGCAUGGUGGCAUGUGCCUGCAGUCCCAGCUACUCAGGAGGCUGAGGUGGGAGGAUCGCUUGAACUCAGGAGUUGAAGGCUGCAGUGGGUGAGGAUCACAACACUGAAUUCCAGCUGAGGUGACAGAAUGAGACCCUGUCUCUCUAAAAAACAAGCAAGCAAACAAACCAAAAACCACAAACAAACCAGACCCCUCUUAGCAGAAUACUUCCAUGAGGUAAUAAAAGAAAGAAGAAAGUGAAACGAACAAACAAUUUUACUCAAGAAACUAGUGAGAAAUCAAAGAAAUGUCCAAGAAGUAGGAUACAAGAAUUAAUCAAAACAGAUUAACAGUGGAAUAAAUAAAUGAAUCCAACUGGUUCUUUGUAAUGGAAUGUGGAAAGACAUACUCUAUUCUUCUGGAUAGGAAGAUGAAAUAUCAUAAUCAUAUCAAUGCAAGUUUUAUGCAUGCUCAAACAUGUAUAAACUAAGAAAAAAUCUGAAAGGACAGACAGCAAAAUGUUUGCAGUUUUUUUCCUCCAAGUGGUAAGAUUAAAGAACACAGACAAAAAUAGAAACUCCUCACAUGACCCACCACGAAGCCCAUCAGAUGGCAGAAUGCAGAAUCAGGUUGCAGUGGACUGAUCUUAAAACAGAUGAAGCAGUGGAGAAAAUCUUCCUGGAGCUGAUGGUAUAAUUUGCUUCUUGAAACAAUGACAGUCCAUGAAAUAAGGUGGGGAAGAUGUUUUGAACCUCUCUCAGCAGCAGAUCCCUAAAUCACAGACCCAGAACUUGGAGGAAACAGGAAACAGGAGGCCAUCUCUGCACCUCUCCAG